RNAcentral lists this long non-coding RNA (202 nucleotides) under Hordeum vulgare. Its description in RNAcentral is "long non-coding RNA (HVUL_LNC013615)". Lineage: Eukaryota; Viridiplantae; Streptophyta; Magnoliopsida; Poales; Poaceae. The record is from RNAcentral.
GCUUGUUUUCCUCUAUAAUAACAUAAUUAGCCCAUUUAGCUCCAAAAAGACAUAGUUAGCUAAUUUAGCUCCAAGAAGAGGAGAAGAGGAGAAAUGAAAAGAAGGAAGAAGAAGAAGAAGAAGAAGAAGAAGAAAAGAAGGAGAAGAAGAGAAGAAGAAGAAGAAGAAGAAGAAGAAGAAGAAGAAGAGAAGGAGAAGGAGA